UAAAUACUCCCUCCGUUCGAAAUUAUUUGUCUCGGAAAUGAAUAUAAAUGGAUGUAUCUAGAACUAAAAUACGCCUAAAUACAUACAUCUCUCCGAUAAAUAUUUCCGAACAGAGAGAGUAUAAG
Hordeum vulgare subsp. vulgare (domesticated barley) is the source of this 125-nucleotide non-coding RNA. The record is from Rfam. Lineage: Eukaryota; Viridiplantae; Streptophyta; Magnoliopsida; Poales; Poaceae.